Molecule: microRNA precursor, 97 nt
Filed under: Phlebotomus papatasi
Lineage: Eukaryota; Metazoa; Arthropoda; Insecta; Diptera; Psychodidae
Description: microRNA mir-286
Source: RNAcentral
AUUUGACUUUGAGGUGACUUGAUUAGGCGCUUCUUCUGACAGAAAAAGCAUUGAGUCAGAAAAAGUGCCUAAUCAAAUCACAUCAAAGUCAAAUUAC